RNAcentral lists this long non-coding RNA (562 nucleotides) under Pan troglodytes (chimpanzee). RNAcentral describes it as "lincRNA". Lineage: Eukaryota; Metazoa; Chordata; Mammalia; Primates; Hominidae. The record is from RNAcentral.
AGUGCUGGGGGACCCGGCGCACCCUCCGCAGCUGCUGGCCCGGGUGCUAAACCCCUCACUGCCCGGGCCGGCGGUGCCGGCGGGCUGCUCUCAGUGCGGGACCUCGGAGCCUGCGCCCACCCGGAACUAGCCGCGUUCAGCCUUGGUUCCCGCCCCCGCCUCUCCCGCCACACCUCUCCACAAGCAGAGGGAGCUGGCUUCAGCCUCAGCCAGCACGGAGAGGGGCCCCCACAGCGCAGUGGCGGGCUGAAGGGCUCCUUGAGCAUGGCCAGAGUGGACGCCAAAGCUGAGGAGGCGCCGAGAGCCAGUGAGGGCUGCUAGCACGUUGUCACCUCUCAAUACAUAAAACUACUGGAGGGUGGUUCCAAGAUGGCCAAAUAGAAACAGCUCCAGUCUACAGCUCCCAGCAUGAGCGAUGCAGAAGACGAAUGAUUUCUGCAUUUCCAACUGAGUAGAGAGCUGACUUUAGAGGGAUCAAGAAUAGCUUGCUGGAUGGAAGGAGCUUGGGGCCAGUCAUCAUCUUAAAGGCUCUGUGGCAGCUUGGACUUGAAGUAGGGUGCAC